GAAAAACAUGAAUGAGAGAGGUACUCCCUCUUCUAUGUAUUUAUAGAAAAAGAGCACUUAAAAAACCUUUGGAACUGAUCCAGCUCAUUUCUUUGACCUCCUUCUCAAAAACUAGAUCAUGCUUCCCAGAUCAGUCUCCUCAGUGGUGUAAGAAAGCAGAAGAUAAGAACAUAAGAAAGAAAAGAAGAAGAUAAGAACUCUCCUUCCUCCCUGUGGCACCUGCCUAAAUCUGCACAGCAAGUUCCUGGGUCAGCAUGCCUUAUGAUUUCACAAGGGCAAGUUAAAAAGGAAAACAGCUUGUACUCCAAAAACUCAAAGAAGAAAACUUUCAUACCACAGAAUCAUAGAAUAUCUUAUCUUGGAAGAGACCCACAAGGAUCAUUAAGUCCAACUCCUGGCUCCAGACAGGACUACCCAAAAAUCAUACCAUAUGACUGAGAGCAUUUCAUAGUAGAACUGGAGACUUACUGUCCAGAAUAACACCUGAAACAGAUAUAAUGGAUAUGAUAUGAGGUGAUGAUGGGACUGCAACAAUGAUGAGGCUGUAUCCAUAAAUUACAAAACUGCAGUAACACUAUUGCUUCAUGGACAAUAAUUGCUCUGGUAAGUUCUUAACCCUCAAACUUUGAGAACAGGUUAAAAAAUCCAUUUCUGCUACUACUUUGUGUAAUCUCCUUGUAGGUUUAUGUAUGUUUAAAUAAAGGUUGGUUCUAAUCUGAAAAUGUGAGCCUACUUAUCUUUUGCAUGCUUACAUAUCCUGGUAGCAGAUGUUGGGAAAGCACUUGAAAGGAAGAAAAAGCUUUCCAUUUUUAACUCAGUGGAUUUCAGAACAGAGCAAGUAACACAUGGACUUUAAAUGAUAAUGUUUGCCUACAGUAAACAGCACACUUGUGAUAGACAGCCCUGGACACACACCCUGAUUUCCUGUAGAAAGAAACCUGGAUUUGCACCUUUACAACGAGCGGGAUAUCAUCCUCCCAGCUUCAUAAGGGAUGAGGAUGCCACCAUAGACUGCCCAAGUUACAUUACAUCCUUCCUUUUAUCUUCAAGGCUUUUCUGAAAUACUCUGUUUCCCGGUUCCAACGAACAAACCUAUUUCUUUUCUUAGGAACCUGUAGCAGCAGCUUCUUGAGAUGAUCAAGCCAGCCUUGCAGCCCAUUGACAAUGAAAGAAGGGGCCCUGCUCUCUCCACUGACUGUCUUCCCCUUCAGCCACGUGCUUUCCUACUUUGUGUUACACCUUUCUGGUGCUUAGCAAACCCCUUAACAAACCUUCACAACUCUGUUACUCAGGGGAAAUUAAAACAGAUCAUAAGUAUCUGAUGAAUUAAUCGGAUGAAUUGGGUUGUGGGGUGUCCAACAGGCAUUGGGGAGGAGCAGAGUGAUGUAAAUGGGAACAUAAAAAGAGAACUGAGACUGUCCCUUCAUAACAACCAUGAGACCAGCUGCUCUUGAAAUUUCAGUGUGUUGCCUGCUCAGAUCAGAUAACAGACAGCAAGAAGUAAGGGGGGGGGGGGGAGCUCUUCCAGAUUUACAGAUAAUUUCUACUGAUUAUACAGCAAAAGUAUCUGAAAUCUAAAGUCAAGUGAUUAAAAAACAAUAAUAACUAGAUUUCAUUACUAAUGUAUUUUUAUUCAUUAUUAAUUAUUAUCUAACUCACUUCUACAAUAGAAUGAAUGUAGCAUUAAUAUGAUUUAUUAAGUUGUGGUUAUCCCAGACUCAUGAUCUUUGGGUCCUAAAAAACAAGUUAGACACUUAUAAGUGUCUAACUUAUAGACACUUAUAGACACUUAUAAGACUUCUGAGCUUCUUUGUUGUUGUGGGUUUUUUGUUUGUUUGUUUUUCCUUACUACUUUACUCAUUAGCCCCACCUUGCAUACAGUUUCGCACAACAGUGCCAACAACAAAUUCUAUACAUUGUAAAAUAUGUUUAAUACGGCUCCAAUGUAAGUAACCAAAUCCUAAUGGGAUGGGGUACAUUUCUGUCUUUAUUCGCAGGUCACGUACAGGUCUCCAGUGACAGGGGAACAGUGGGCUAAUGAUGCUAUAUCAUCAUUUCAG
Molecule: long non-coding RNA, 2060 nt
Filed under: Anas platyrhynchos platyrhynchos (common mallard)
Lineage: Eukaryota; Metazoa; Chordata; Aves; Anseriformes; Anatidae
Description: lncRNA (ENSAPLG00000029342.1)
Source: RNAcentral